CUACAUCAAGAGUUAAGGAUAAAGUGAAAUUGAGCCAGCGGCUUCAGAAUUUCUCGGAAAUCAGCUGACCCACAGCUGCCCUGACUGGCGGGAGCUUUUCCGAACGCCAUUGGCCCCACAGAGCAUAAACAAGAUUUUGUUGUCGUGGAGUGUCGGGGUACCGGGAUUAGAGCAGACUCAUCGCUGAUCUCGCUCCUGUCCAGCUGCCAUGAGCUUUCUUCCAGUUGCCGUGGCAUACUUCGCAGUUCUGGUCAUAGGCGCUGCAAUUUUGGCAGUUGCAAUGAAUCAGCCCAUGGAAGCCUCUGUGAAUGCCAGGGGUGCACAUGGUGAUCCUGGGGGGAAACAAAAGACCGGCCCCCCAGGCUGCAGCCAAUGCCUUGCUGAGAAGAAGAAAGCCUGAUUACCAUGGCCAGUGAACAGAAGGGGCUGCAUAAACGGCCUGACUCUGCCCUUAGGGCAGCAGCUGAUUGCAUGCUGGCGCAGAAACAGCUCCCUAUGUUCAAUGCAAGGGAGCAAAAGCAAGAUUCCUUCCUUCCAAGCACACGGGUUCAUCUUCAAACGCCUGGGGCUGGAAAGUCCAAUCCCUCCCACAGCUUCUGCUUUCAAUGAUUUGGAGCAGUAGAUAAGCAAUAAAUUAACAGUGCUGGUG
Long non-coding RNA from Haemorhous mexicanus (house finch), 649 nucleotides. RefSeq lists it as uncharacterized. The transcript has 6 exons. The record is from RefSeq and is a predicted model, not a curated record. NCBI's taxonomy places the organism in Eukaryota, Metazoa, Chordata, Aves, Passeriformes, Fringillidae.